This is a long non-coding RNA of Pyrus x bretschneideri (Chinese white pear), 941 nucleotides long. RefSeq lists it as uncharacterized. The record is from RefSeq and is a predicted model, not a curated record. The transcript has 2 exons. NCBI's taxonomy places the organism in Eukaryota, Viridiplantae, Streptophyta, Magnoliopsida, Rosales, Rosaceae.
UUCGUCUCCGCCCGAAGAUACCUUGCUCUCUCCUGCCGAUUCCUCUUCCUUAUUGGAUUUGCUCUCCUUCCGAUUCCUUUUCGUUCUUGGAUUUGGUCUCUCCAACCGAUUCCUCUGGUUUCUGUUCCUUUGCCUCUCCACACACUAUGGUCCUCAUCUCCUUGCACCAACCAUUUGUUAUCUCAUCCUAGAGCGGUUCUGUUGUUUGUAGCCCCUGCUCGGGUCCCAUUUCUCUCCCUCUUUCUUCAACAUGCAAUCCACAGCCUUAUACGGAGUCAACGUCUUGAGCGUCUCUAUCAGAGCAGGAAGAGCCAUAAGGAUGUGGGAGAGCUCUGCAAACACGGUGAGCUUGCAGACGGCGUAGAAAAUGCACAUUUUGGAUUUCUCCAAAGGAUCUAUCUUGGAGAAUUUUUUUGUUUUUUUGAAAUUCGCAGGAAUUACGGAUGAUCAAGGCGAGCCCCGGAAAAAUACUAUUUUCAGGACUUUGUUUAAAAUUUUGUUCGGACUCUUUGGACUUUUCCUAUUUGAAGUUUGUUUAUUUGAGACUUGAUGGGACAGUUGAAUAUUUUUAUUAAUUACGGCAAUGCUGGCUUUGCCUUUGAUGUUGAAUUUUUCAUAAGGAAACCUAAUGAAAAUCAUAUUGUUUGAAAAUUUUGAGUUUUGUUGCCUUGCUAUUUAAUUAAUUGUCCAAAAUUUUCACAAUGAUUGGGUUAAAUAUGGUCCAAAAAUUAGAUGUGAUUCAUCCUAUGAAGAUGAGUACUGUAGGCACAAAAAUACUAGCCCCGGUGAUUACCAGACAAAGGAACAGUGUGCUGAUGUUUUUCAGUACAUACUCCCCUAUGCAAAGGCUUCUUCUUUAAAGGAUAGAAGUGAUCAAUCCCAUUGAACAUGGGAGGAAGGAAGUGUAUCGAAUUGCCAAAAGAAACUGAACAUUAUAUGGA